UGGAUCACCUCCUAACAGGGAGACAACAAAAUGUUUAAUAUUAUUAUUUUGUCACCUUAGGUCGAUCGGUAUCUCACAUUUUUAAUUUAUUAAGAAUUUCAUUUCCUAAGUUUUUCUAGGUCACACCCAUUAUUUUCCUGGGCCAUUAGCUCAGGUGGUUAGAGCGCACCCCUGAUAAGGGUGAGGUCCCUGGUUCAAGUCCAGGAUGGCCCAUAUCUCUAUGUUGGGGGUAUAGCUCAGUUGGUAGAGCGCCUGCUUUGCAAGCAGGAUGUCAGCGGUUCGAGUCCGCUUACCUCCACUGAUUACCACCUCUUCCAUAAUUAUAUAGAAGGGAAAAUUUUUAGGUUGUGAUCAAAUUCUGAACGAAUCUAGCUUCCUAAUGAAAAUAUUAAGAUGCUGGACUCAUUGAAUUAAUUCAUUGUUUUCAGAGAACCUUGACAACUGCAUAGAUUAUUUUUAAAGACAAUAAGCAUCUUUAAUGAUGCAGAUUUAUUAUUGGUGCAAAUGCAUUAAUAACAAUUCUAUUAAGCUGAUGCUUCAAUUUUGAAGUUAUUGGUCAAGCUACAAAGGGCACACGGAGGAUACCUAGGCACACAGAGGCGAUGAAGG
This 609-nucleotide transfer RNA is filed under the name uncultured Prochlorococcus sp. RNAcentral describes it as "partial contains 16S ribosomal RNA, 16S-23S ribosomal RNA intergenic spacer, and 23S ribosomal RNA". The stretch from base 226 to 298 matches the Rfam family "tRNA". Lineage: Bacteria; Bacillati; Cyanobacteriota; Cyanophyceae; Synechococcales; Prochlorococcaceae. The record is from RNAcentral.